Molecule: ribosomal RNA, 494 nt
Filed under: uncultured bacterium
Lineage: Bacteria
Description: partial 16S ribosomal RNA
Rfam family: Bacterial small subunit ribosomal RNA
Source: RNAcentral
GAUGAACGCUGGCGGCGUGCUUAACACAUGCAAGUCGAACGGAAAGGCCUGCUUUCCCUUGUGGAUUGCGGGUGCUCGAGUGGCGAACGGGUGAGUAACACGUGAGUGAUCUGCCCCCAACUUGGGUAUAAGCCUGGGAAACUGGGUCUAAUUCCCGAUAGGACUGCAGGGUGGUGCCUGUGGUGGAAAACGAUUUUCUAGUGGUUGGGGAUGAGCUCGCGGCCUAUCAGCUUGUUGGUGGGGUAAUGGCCUACCAAGGCGGCGACGGGUAGCCGGCCUGAGAGGGUGGACGGCCACAUUGGGACUGAGAUACGGCCCAGACUCCUACGGGAGGCAGCAGUGGGGAAUAUUGCACAAUGGGCGGAAGCCUGAUGCAGCGACGCAGCGUGGGGGAUGACGGCCUUCGGGUUGUAAACUCCUUUCGACCGCGAGGAAGCCACCUGGUUGGAAGGGUGGUGACGGUAGUGGUAGAAGAAGCACCGGCUAACUACGUG